CAUGGGGCGGAGUGGGGGUCCCUCAGCCUGGACUGUGAGAGGGAACAGGCCAGGGUGGGGGACCCCACUGGUGCAUG
This is a non-coding RNA of Myotis davidii, 77 nucleotides long. The record is from Rfam. Lineage: Eukaryota; Metazoa; Chordata; Mammalia; Chiroptera; Vespertilionidae.